AGUUUAGAUUGGAAUCUUGAAGUCUUGAAGUCUUGAACAGUUUUAAUCUGAUUUAAUCGAGGAAAAUAGAAUGAAGAGACUAGAUGUUCUUCAAAUCUUGGCAGAAAGGAAUGAAAGAAGAAAACGCGAACUGGAGCUCAAUGGUUUACCGUCAGAAAGCAAAUAAUUCUUUGCCCAUAACCCCAAAUUUUUCAAGGCAGACUCCAUCCAUCCUCGUUGAAUCAUCAUCCCAGAGUGCUUCGUCAAAAAGUAGUAGACAGGAAGAAUUAAAUCGUGCUACAGUUCUGGAUAUUUUUGAUGAUACACAAGUUUAUCUUUUUUAUUCAAAAGGUGAAGUAAACUAUUCUUGGCUUGAUAAAGAUCUAGGUAUUAAAGAUGUUCCAAAGAUGUCUUCUUCAGAUUUGGUGAACUAUUUGCGGUAAGAAAUAAAGGGCAAUAAAUUACAACGAUCAUUGUUAACCUGCAAAUUAUCAUGUAGGAGAUAUUUGUUCUUUCUAAUGUCAGUGACAACAAGCAAAGAUGUGGCAGAACUCAGAAGUGUGUCUCAAGAUUCUUUCAGAAAAAAUAUCUGAUAAAACUCAACAAUUCUGUAUUGAAGUGCCUGACUUACUUCUAGUCCUGAUGAAUUUUGGUACUGUUCAAAGCAACUUUUGGCCUGUGGCUUUGGACAUUUCUUUUCCUCGCCCAUUCCGGAAAUUUUCCAUCCAACAGUUUCGAUUCGGAAAAACAUCAUGUCCCUUUCCCUCGCUUUCUAUUUGGAGAAAAUAUUGUCUCUCUUGAGUUUCAAUGUGAAAACAUAUCCCUAUUUUUCCGAGAACGAGAAAAUUGGAAUGUGCAACCUCUUGCUAAACCUUUACAUGGCAAAUUUUAUAGCUGGAGACACUUUUCUAACUCUCAAAAUCAGAGACAUUAUAUCACGUAUAAUUGAAAGUUUUACAGUAGAGGAAUGGAGUGAACUUAAUUUCAAAAUGUAUUGAAGAACUUAUUUUGCAGUGUUGGAUUGAGAACCUGUAACCUACAGCGAUGGUUCAACGAAUUACGUACAGUAUAUACCAACAACUACAAGCCGUGGAGCAACUACAAGCUGUCGGUUCAUCAGCGAUGGACUCGAGUAAACGACGAGCAAUGGUCGUUUGCCGAAGGGCUUCUUCCGCCAAGGCAAGAAAUUGACUCAUCUUCAUCAGGUUUAUUGCAGCAACUUGAGAGAAUUCACUUGAAAAGAUGCAGGGCACAUACUAACAUGUGUUGUAUUUUUCUGAAUUAUGUUUUGAUUGAGCAGUAGAUUCAACAUGACUGUUCGAUGACAAAGUUAGUUGGAAACCUAACUCAAAUACCGAUAACCUUUGCUGCAGCUGCCUUACAGCCACAAGCAGGAAAAUUAUUCUUUUCUUCAGAAAGUUGUUUUAUUUUUUGUCCUGAAUCCCCUAUACUUUCUUUUAAUAUUAGAGAUUUUUAUGUUGAAUAAGUUAACGAAAGUUUGAAAUUGCUAACUAAAUCAUUUGUAUGAUGUGUCAUAGGGAAAGCUGCUGGAGUAAUCUAGUGUUCAUCCUCUUGAUUCAUUUCGUGUCAGCUAGCAGCCAGUGAAAGGCGUAACGAUUCGAGUUGAGCUGCUGCCGCUGCGUCUGCAAGAACGCAUCAAAUUAGCUGUCGCUAGGUGGCUUAAAAUGAUUUCCACUAGGUUGCGCGAGUGUCUUCACUCUUCAGGGAUAAAUGUGUUAUGGUCGUGACGUUUCUCAUGAUGAAAAUGAAAAGGUCCAAUGCAACAGUAAAAGUCCGCUGCUGGUUACUUUGUUGCAGACAGCUGGGGAUAGGUGUUCCUUUUGCAGGUGUGCUACUGGUACUGGUUGUAAUUUUCGUCAUGUACAGAAACAAUUCUUAAGCAGGAUGUCGAAGAUCUUUCCUUUCUCCACGUGGUUGCUGACGUGUCAUGAAGAUGUGUUUUUGGGAGGGUCUCUACUAUAUUGCAAGACAAAAGUGUGAUGAAAACAGGAAAUCUGAAAUGGUAAUAAUGUACUGAGCUUUUGUGGAAGGUUCUUCGUACUUGGAAAGAGUUGUAAAUUUUGUUUGAUCAGACAGAGCAGAUUGCAUAUUCUUAAAACCUGAAAUGAAAUCUUUGCGAUGUGUUGAUCUUUGAUCAUUUCUUUUUCUUGUUUAGUGUAUAUUUAAAGUAGAUCAUUAUUGGUA
Molecule: long non-coding RNA, 2184 nt
Organism: Daphnia pulicaria
Lineage: Eukaryota; Metazoa; Arthropoda; Branchiopoda; Diplostraca; Daphniidae
Exons: 10
Source: RefSeq, a predicted model, not a curated record